Molecule: ribosomal RNA, 305 nt
Filed under: uncultured bacterium
Lineage: Bacteria
Description: bacterial SSU rRNA
Rfam family: Bacterial small subunit ribosomal RNA
Source: RNAcentral
ACCUACGGGACGCAGCAGUGAGGAAUAUUGGUCAAUGGGCGGUAGCCUGAACCAGCCAAGUAGCGUGAAGGAUGAAGGUUCUAUGGAUUGUAAACUUCUUUUAUAUGGGAAUAAAGUUUUCCACGUGUGGAAUUUUGUAUGUACCAUAUGAAUAAGGAUCGGCUAACUCCGUGCCAGCAGCCGCGGUAAUACGGAGGAUCCGAGCGUUAUCCGGAUUUAUUGGGUUUAAAGGGAGCGUAGGUGGAUUGUUAAGUCAGUUGUGAAAGUUUGCGGCUCAACCGUAAAAUUGCAGUUGAAACUGGCAG